Molecule: ribosomal RNA, 301 nt
Filed under: uncultured bacterium
Lineage: Bacteria
Description: partial 16S ribosomal RNA
Rfam family: Bacterial small subunit ribosomal RNA
Source: RNAcentral
CAGCCGCCGCGGGAAUACGAAGGGGGCUAGCGUUGUUCGGAUUUACUGGGCGUAAAGGGCGCGUAGGCGGACUGAUAAGUCAGGGGUGAAAUCCCAAGGCUCAACCUUGGAACUGCCUUUGAUACUGUUUGUCUUGAGUUCGAGAGAGGUAAGUGGAACUGCGAGUGUAGAGGUGAAAUUCGUAGAUAUUCGCAAGAACACUAGUGGCGAAGGCGGCUUACUGGCUCGAAACUGACGCUGAGGCGCGAAAGCGUGGGGAGCAAACAGGAUUAGAUACCCCGGUAGACCCUGUCUCUUAUAC